UUAAAGAGGUUUAAGAGAUAGCUCAGUGGGCUGGAGAGAUGGCUCAGCUGGUAAAGGCUAGGCUCACAACCAAAAAUAUA
This is a microRNA precursor of Cricetulus griseus (Chinese hamster), 80 nucleotides long. NCBI's taxonomy places the organism in Eukaryota, Metazoa, Chordata, Mammalia, Rodentia, Cricetidae. The record is from Ensembl.